RNAcentral lists this non-coding RNA (669 nucleotides) under Pongo abelii (Sumatran orangutan). The record is from RNAcentral. Lineage: Eukaryota; Metazoa; Chordata; Mammalia; Primates; Hominidae.
GAUGUCUGAGGAAUAGUCUUAGUGGAUUAUCCCAAACUUGACACAUUUUUUGCAAAAUGCUAUACAAAAAGAAGAUACAUGUGAUUAUGACAAGAUUCUCCACUUGGUGUGACCGGUCUCAUACAACCCAAGGCUGUGUGUCCAAACGCAAUUGCACUUCUGGGACUGGAAACAAAUUGGGAACAUUUUUCAUUGCAUAUUUGGCUCAGAUCUGUGACUUAGUUGAAGUAUAAUCUUCAGCAAGUGACUCAAAAUUUCUGAAUCUCGUUUUCACCAUCAAUACAAGACAACAAUAAUAUUUUCUCUUUUAAGUAUUUGGAAGUGUUGAGAAAGCCAUAAUAGCAACACUUGCAAAAGGGCUCCAUUGUAAAAUGCAAGGUAGAGGUAGUUGUGACCCUUUGGGGAAAACUAUAGUUGCCACAAUUAUCUCUGAAGUGAAGCACGUUUCUUAGACUGAAGGAAAGCCCUGGGAGAGAUUGGUCUAGCUUUAGCAUGACUGUGGGUAGAGCUUCUAGGGAGAAGAAUGAAAUGUAUUCCUCUUUUCCUUCUCUCUAGGAAUACUGGAAAGCAUUUAUUUGUUUGCUAAAUUGCUCUCUUUCCACCAGUGAUAUCGAUUCUGAAAUACUUUUUAGAUCUUGACAAUAAUCAAAAUGUAGCCAGGUGCAUUGG